This 1122-nucleotide long non-coding RNA is filed under the name Homo sapiens (human). Its description in RNAcentral is "non-protein coding lnc-GABPA-20:2". The record is from RNAcentral. Lineage: Eukaryota; Metazoa; Chordata; Mammalia; Primates; Hominidae.
UAUUUCCAAUAUAGCUCCACUCCAUAAUUUGUAUACUCUUUUAAGUAGCAUUUUCUCAAAUUUCCAUUUGCUAAAGUGUCAUUUCCUACCCAAGUGCUGGAGCUCUCAGAGCCACAUUUCAUGACCCUUGUUUGACAGGAACUUUGCUAACAGAUGCAGGGAGGGACAGCCUUUGGAAUUCCUUGAGGUAAUGUUAUGUUAUACCAAAAAUAUCUACUAGGGUUUUACAGAAAUGCCAAACAUUUUCGUAGAGUCUUUGGAAUUCCUGUAGAAGGGUUUUACAUAGGAGCCAUCAUUUUUAGUGUACAAAUUUUCUUGUGAUUUCAUCAUGGAACAUUUUAGUCUUCCAAAUAUAUUUUUGAGAAACAACUUUGAGAGAGAAUUUUUUUUUCAUAAGAUAAAGAGCCCUCAUUAAGAAGUGUGAAAAUUUUCUUAAUUUCAAUAGAAGAAUAAUAUUCUAAAGUCUCAAUAUAGAUAUGUGAGAAUAUAGAAAAUACUUUUCAUUUUGGGACAGGUCAUUUAUAAAAGGUAAUUUAUUUGACAAUUUCACCAUUUUCAAUGCCUAAAAAAGAUAAGUUUGGCAUGAUGCACCACUAUCAUUUUGUUGCUUUAAAAAAUACAUUGCUAAUUAGACCUUGGAAACAACAUUUUUAGAGUUUGUUUUGCAGAGAAACACAGAUACUCCUUAAGGUGACAUGAACACUUGGUAGCAGAAUAGAAAUAAUAGUAAUCAAUAUAUUGUUGAGUCUGGACACUCCAUGACCCUUAAACUACUAAAGGACAGUGUUAAUGACAUCAUGGUCAAAGAUUCUCAUCUACUGUAAACAGGCCAGUUAGCUCAGUAAAGCUCUACACCAGGGCAGAUAUGAUCUUUAAAUGGUGUGUGAAAGAAAACCUCACAACUCAGAAUGAGUUAUGAGAAAGUGUGUUCAUCACAUUCUAGUCAGGAAAAACAACUUUUCACCCUAAGAUAAAAACAAAGCAAAAUAAGACAAAGCAAACUCUUGCGGGAAGUCAGGGACCCCAAAUGGAGGGACCAGCUGAAGCCAUGGCAGAAGAACGUGGAUUGUGAAGAUUUCAUGGACAUUUAUUAGUUCCCCAAAUUAAUGCUUUUGUAAUUUC